RNAcentral lists this ribosomal RNA (464 nucleotides) under uncultured bacterium. RNAcentral describes it as "bacterial SSU rRNA". It matches the Rfam family "Bacterial small subunit ribosomal RNA", at positions 28 to 507 of the family's 1533-position model. The record is from RNAcentral.
GACGAACGCUGGCGGCGUGCCUAACACAUGCAAGUCGAACGGGACUCAGCCCUUCGGGACUGAGUUUAGUGGCGAACGGGUGAGUAACGCGUGAGGAACCUGCCUUUCAGUGGGGGACAACAGUUGGAAACGACUGCUAAUACCGCAUAAUGCUUUUUGAUGGCAUCAUUGAAAAGCCAAAGAUUUAUUGCUGAAAGAUGGCCUCGCGUCUGAUUAGCUAGUUGGUGGGGUAACGGCCCACCAAGGCGACGAUCAGUAGCCGGUCUGAGAGGAUGAACGGCCACAUUGGGACUGAGAUACGGCCCAGACUCCUACGGGAGGCAGCAGUGGGGAAUAUUGGGCAAUGGUGGAAACCCUGACCCAGCAACGCCGCGUGAAGGAAGAAGGCUUUCGGGUUGUAAACUUCUUUUAAGAGGGAAGAGCAGAAGACUGUACCUCUAGAAUAAGCCACGGCUAACUACGUG